Molecule: ribosomal RNA, 422 nt
Filed under: uncultured eukaryotic phytoplankton
Lineage: Eukaryota
Description: bacterial SSU rRNA
Rfam family: Bacterial small subunit ribosomal RNA
Source: RNAcentral
GGAAUUUUCCGCAAUGGGCGAAAGCCUGACGGAGCAAUACCGCGUGAGGGAUGACGGCCUGUGGGUUGUAAACCUCUUUUCUCAAGGAAGAAGUUCUGACGGUACUUGAGGAAUAAGCAUCGGCUAACUCUGUGCCAGCAGCCGCGGUAAUACAGAGGAUGCAAGCGUUAUCCGGAAUCACUGGGCAUAAAGCGUCUGUAGGUGGUUUGGUAAGUCUGCUGUUAAAGACUGGGGCUCAACCCCAGAAAAGCAGUGGAAACUGCCAGACUUGAGUGUGGUAGAGGUAGAGGGAAUUCCUAGUGUAGCGGUGAAAUGCGUAGAUAUUAGGAAGAACACCAAUGGCGAAAGCACUCUACUGGGCCAUAACUGACACUAAGAGACGACAGCUAGGGGAGCAAAUGGGAUUAGAUACCCCAGUAGUC